Molecule: long non-coding RNA, 7477 nt
Organism: Haemorhous mexicanus (house finch)
Lineage: Eukaryota; Metazoa; Chordata; Aves; Passeriformes; Fringillidae
Exons: 2
Source: RefSeq, a predicted model, not a curated record
CUUUAGAGUAUGUCAUAUACGUGGCAUGCAAAUGCAAUCAGAAUACCAGUAAUUUUUAAUGCUUCAAAAUAUAAAAUAUACUAUUAAGGCAUGUAUUCACUUGCUUAGAAAGCUGAUUCUUAGAAGGUAUGUAUGAAUUGAUGGGCAGAACAAAGAGUAUGAGCUUAAUUACAAUAUUACACAUGUAAGGAGAAUCUUGUUUUUUCUGUUCUCUCACGACAGUAUGACCUUGCUUUUCUGAAGCUGAAAUAAAAACCUGCUAUAGAGAGAACGGAUAAAUGUUAGAAAAUGAAAUAAGCAUGAGUCUGUGAAUGGACCUAACUGCAGCUGGAAAAAGAGUGCAUGCUCUUCCUGUAUUCUUGCAGUAGAUCAAUUUGCACUAUCACAAAGCAUAGCAGACUCCAGACCACUGGAGAUGGCAGCAUAGGACGACUGCUACACUUUCAAAGCACCUAAAAGAGACCCCCUUUAGGCUCUGGAAGGCUGCUAUAAGAACUCCUGGGAGUCUUCUCUUCACCAGCCUGAGCAGCCCCAAUUCUCUCAGCCCAUCUUCACAGGAGAGGUGCUCCAGCCCUCUGAACAUCCUCACAGCCCUCUUCUGGACCUGCUCCAACAGGUCCACAUCCUUCUUGUGUUGGGGGCCCCUGAGCUGGACACUGUGGGCACAGACAGUACUGCUGAUGGGUCUCACUAGAGCAGAGGAAGGGGCAGAAUCACCUCCCUCAAAUUGCUGGCCACCAGCUGAAGCUGCACAUGUCCUUUCCUCACUUGGAGCAAGUCUCAUCUUGAGUAAAGUCUGCACUUUAGUUCUGCACACUUCUGCAAAUUCUAACCAGCCCCACACAGUACUUCACUUAGUGAAUUACUAGAAUUUAAAAAUUUUAUACACUUAACAUGAAAUUUAUUUAAAUAUGUGUUUAGUUUGUUACCUAGAAGGGUAUAAUUCAAAGGAAAAGUAUUUAGCAAUUAUGUACAGCAUGUGAUGGAUGAUUUUUGUGCCCAGAUUAUCCACAAAAAUUUGGGCAAAGACCAAAGACUUUGUAUCAUGUUAUACAGCAUUUUACUAAAUAUAAUCUAACACUAAACAGCCCCAAGACUUACAGACGUAAGUAAGUUUAUUCCCUUUUGGCACUAGAUUUUGGUAAGCUAUUCAACAAAAAUGGAAAUUUUGCCUUAUGUGUACUUUAAACUCUCCAUUAAGGUACAUGAUUUCCAAUAUCAUGUCCAAAAAUACACCUCCUGCUAUAAAUCCUUCAUUCUCUGCCUACAAGCACUGGCUUAAACUGUAAGUUAAUAUUAUUUUCAUCCAAGCUAUCUGAAACACUGAAAGGUAUUCAAACACAUUGGUUUGAAAACUGUUUUGCUUGUUUUAGCACAACAUCAUUACAACUGGCCUCUUGUAACAUGAAAAAGUUCCAAGUGGAUUAUCUGGCAUUCCAAAGCCAUAAUGCACAAGAGAAGAAAGCGCUACCGGCUGUGAUGCAAUCGCAGAAAAUAAGAAGAAAUAGUUCAACGAGCCCAAGUAUUAGCAUCCUCUUUGAUUUCUGCAAAAGUAUUACAGCCUCUACGAAGUAGGAUUCCUUAUACUUGAAGACAAACACUCCACUUUCUCUACUGAGCCAAGAAAGCACUUUUGUUCAAUGGACAUGGCUAAAAUAAGUCUGCAGAGUGAUUGGUUUCUUUAUGAAAGGCUGCCUAUCAAAGAUUAUCUAUUACACAGAACCCAUCCUAUCAAACUGAUGUUGGUUUACUGACAAUGCCUAGAUUUUAAAGUCUUUUUGACACAAUUGAAAAGCCUGCAGAAUUUCAUUUAUGAUGUGUUGGAACGUGGAUUGUGUCCUGUACUUACUUUUCAGGAUCUCUGCAUUAUAGUGUGCUGCAGCAAAUUUCAGGGAAUCAUCUGAUCUUGUGUCAAAGCUGGAGUGCUCCCUGUUGUGUUGCCAACCUCCUCUCCUCAACUGACAUUUGAAUAUUUUCCAGUAUUCUGGGUAAAGUACUGUCAUGAGUUCAUCCACACUGGAGACAGACCGCAAUUGCUCUUCCAGGUCUUUGCUUCCAUGAGCCUGCCAAAGUAACGUACAAGAUUAAUUAUACUCUCUGGUACACAAGGUUUGCUGGAAACUAGCCUGAAAAGCAAGUCAUACAUUGUAAAAGAAAGGGGUCCUCAUCAUAAAAACUGCUUCUGUCAGUCAAUGCCAACAUUUUUAUAUUGACAAACAAUCAAGUGCUUUGCUUCUUCCACCAGUUCUUUAUCACUCUUGUAGUUCAAUAUAGCUGUGUGAGAGAGGAGCUAUAGAAUUAAGCCUACACAAACACAGUUUGUAGAUUUUAGAUAUAGAUAGAUAGAUAGAUAGAUAGAUAGAUAGAUAGAUAUAGGCAUUUUUAUCCUGGAAAGUUAUAAAUGUGACAAAAUUUUGAAUGUCUGAACCCCAGUAUACCUAAAUGAUGUUCAUAUUUUUUAAUAUCAUAUGCUCCUAAAGUAACACCAAGUUACUUUAAUCCCUCAGUCCCAGAAAAUCAAAAUGCCCAGAAAUGCAAAACCAGUUAAAACACACCCAAAAAACAAACAAAACACUAAAAAAAGAAACUAAAUCAUGUUAUUUAGUACCAUUCUAGUGAAAAUCUUAAUAAGCAAAUUAUAUUAUAAAGCAUGACUUCCUAAAUCAGUAGGACACAAGGAUUUGGGUACCUUGAAGAGAAUAAACCUCAAACUCCCUUGCUGUUUCAGGAAUAGCCUCAAAUCCUGUAAUCCUGGUUUCUUAUUCUCUGGCCUUUAAACAAACUCAUUAUAUGUGUAGUUUUCUGAAUGAAUGAGAUUUACAUUCCAGUUUAUUGCUUAUCAGGAAGAUUCCUCUAUUUCUCUUAGAUGAAACAUACUGCACCAAAAGACUGGUUUUAUCCCCUGCCCACCUUUCUCAUCCAUGGAUUGCUGACUUCUCAAAGGGAAGGGCAGUAUGGAGAAAGAAGAGUAUUGAAGAACCUUUAGCCACCUUCUCAGCCCACAUGGCCCUUAGAUGGCAGUAUGAGACACAAAAUACAAAGGUACACACUAGUACAAAAUGCAUCAACUGGCUGGAGACUCUCUACAGUUUACUACAAAAUUGUUGCCCUACUCAAAAAACCUGUAAGAGUGUAAAACCUCUAAAUGCAGAAAUGCGAAGCUAUAUGAACUGAAAUUUACAAUUUCUUAUCCAACUCUGCCACUAACAAAAAAAUAAACUCUUUCAAUUCAAUGAUUUUGAACAUCACAUGAGUAAAACAGGUAGCUCAGAACUAGCCCAGCUGAAUCAAAACUGCUCCUUGUCUCACAAACAACUGUGAGGGUACAGAAUGGCACGUAUGGUUUCAUUUACUCCCUUAUCUGGUGUCAAAUACAGCAGAAACAUCUCAGGAUAAGGUAAAUUCACAGACCUCAGUUCUGUAAACACAGUUAUAUACAGAACUGUGAAGAGGAUGAGGCACUGAACCAGGUCACCCAGAGAAGCUGUAAAUGUCCAGUCCCUGGAACUGUUCAAGUGCAGGCUGGAUGUAACUCUGAGCAACCUGGUGUAGUGAAAGAUGUACCUGUCCAUGGCAGGGGACCAAGAGUUAGAUGAUCUUUAAGGUCUCUUCCAACUCAGGCCAUUCUGUGAUUCUAUUAUUCUAAUACCAAUUGUAAAUUCAUUUAAUUUGACAAAGUGUUAUGAAGUUUAAAAAAAAUUUUUUACUUAAGCCUCACUAAGCACAGUGUCCUUGCAGAUGACCAUCCUGGGAGGUUUCAACAACCAAGCCAUUGUCUCAGAAGUGUGCCCAUGCAGCUCUUCAUCUCUUUCCUUGUCACCAUAGGAAGGGCCAUCCCUGACCCAAGACAUGCAUCAAGCAGAUUCUGAGAGCUUUGACUUCAAAUUUAAUGGUAACACAGAGCAUUUCACUCCCCAUCACCUGUGCUCUCCUUGCAGGAUGCCACUCAAGGUCUCAAUCAAUGGGUCACAAACAAAAAUCCAAGCUUAACAAACAACUAAUUUGGUGACUUGCUGCUUGCACCUUCUGAGAGGUGAGAAGAGCAGGGUUUGAGCAGCCUCACUCCUGCCAAACUCUUUCCUGAGGGUGCUGCAGCACAUGGCCCCUGAGUAAUGGGAAGCAAGUUGCUGCACCAGCACAAUGCCAGCUUUGCAGAUGCACGUCUGCCACGUGAUGGGAAUACGCAUGGCACAGCGUGUAUAUCCUGUCACAAGGCUGGAAGCCAGGCUAUUAUGCAAAAGGCAGAGGAAUAAAACCUGUGGUUAGCCAUCCAGUAGCUGAUCCUAGGAGUCCUAGCAGAUCAUGGGGGUAACAUGGAAAGAGAAUUCAACCAAAGCUUUGCCACCUUUGAUUAAUCCUUAAAAGCCUGUACAGCACAAAGUAGACAAAACACUGGCUACUGCUGUUGCAGAUAUUCAAAAUACAGGCCUAGAGCAUCAGGAAAAUGAAACACAGUAUUACUUUGUUGAUAAGAAGUCAGGCAUGGAGCAGGAAAGUGAAAUUGUUAGAAAAAAUCCAUCAAGUUAUGCCUUCUGAGCUGGACACAAAUUUUUUUUAUACAUGUAUUAAAUAUGUACGAAUAAAACUCAAAAUAUGAAGAAAUUAAUGGCUUUAAUUAAGCAUUGUAUCAAAUAUAAUAAAGACUUAUUUUAACCUUGGAUAUUCUACGGGCCAUUGUGCCAUGUGCCCACAACCUGAGACAAGGAAGUCCUGGUUGUGUGUAUAGGUUAAGGAAGGAGAGGCUGGAGAGCAACACUCUGAAAAGGGACCUGGAGGUCCUGGUUGAUGUCAAGUUAAGUCAGCAGUGCCCUGGCAGCCAGGAGGGCCAAGCCUGUCCUGGGAGACAUCAGGAAAAGUUGGAAGAGGGAGGGGAUUGUCCCUCUCUGCUCUGCACUGGGCAGCCUCACCUUGAAUUUUGUGUGCAGUUUUUAGUGCCUCAGUUAAAAAAAAAAAAAAAAACAAGCUAUUAGAGAGUACCCAAAGGAGGACCACAAGGUUGGUGAAGUGUCUGAAGUGAUAGAGAAACUUGGUUUGUUCAGUCUAAAGGAGACUGAGGGGAGACCUCACUGUGGUCUUCAACAUCCUCACGAGGGGAAGCAGAAGGGCAGACAUUGAUCUAAUCACAAAACCAGUGGAAGGAUUUGAGGAAAUGGCAUGAAGCUGAGUUGGGGGAGGUUUAGUUUGGAUUUCAGGGAGAGGUUCUUCAGUCAGAGGGUGGUUGGGCACAGGAACAGGCUCCUCAGGGAAGUGGUCACAGCUCUAAGCCUGUCUGAAUUCAAGGAGUGUUUGGACAAUGCUCUCAGGGACAUGGUGUAACUCUUGGGGCUGCUGUGUUCAGAGCCAGGAGUUGGACUUCAGUGAUCCUGAUGGGUACCUUCCAGCUCAGCUAAUUCUAUGAUUCUCUGAGUACUCCCUUAAUAUAAGCAAAUGGAAAACAAUUUCUAGAGCAGAUAUAGAAAAAACCUUUUAAAAAAUAAUAAUUAUUGCAUCUGAAAUAUUUUCUGCUUAGCAUAAUUUGCUUGUAAAGAUGACUUCAAUUCAAAUUUAUACCAUGGAAAAACAAUCUGAUCAUGAGAAAAUUUUUGUUCUCUCCCCUUUUUCAAUUUAGAAAGAAAAGGAGAAGAAAAUUCAUAUAUAUGUACUAAAUACACUGCACCCAGUGGCCAGAUUUAGGGAGAAAAAAAAAUGUUGUUUUUUCAAUAUGCUUACAGUGUUACCUUGAGAUACAAGUCAAUGAUUUCUUCCUGUACAUAUAUGUAUUUUUUAUCUGCAGCAAAUUACUCUCAUCUGUGGAAAACUGUUUAGAUGAACAUUUGUUUAAGGAACUUGUGAUUUAAUUUUGUACAACAGCCAAACAUCUUGUUGACAUGAACAUCAAAUGAAAUCUUAAGUUCUGGAUGAUUACAAGAGUGUGUCCUGCAUACAGGAUAAGCAUCAGAUCACUAAGGAUCAUUAGAAAGAGUUUCCUACUUUUUAAGGGAAGAAUGAAUCUGCUUCUGUAAAUAUAAUAGUGGUCUGCCAACAUUUUUGAUUUUGUGCAAAUUUUGGUAAUUUCACAAAAAUAUACUGUCAUGGUCCAUAUCUUUUUAAUUAUGCAUUGGCUUGUAGUGUAGGACACUGGAUUUCCAUUGCAAAACAAUUUUGAGACUUAAACACAUUUAGAAUAUAUUAUGACACAAAGAAAGCAGCAUCAACAAAAAUGUACUAGAGAUUAGAGAAGCUCUCUUUUUACAUUCUUCUUAUGCAAGUGCAGAUUAGUGAAGUUCAGAAAGAAAUAUGGCUUGUAGCUGCAAUUACUGUCACCAAGCUGGCUAUUCCCAAAUGUUAAGUUCAAAGGGAGGGGGGAAAAAAAAGUAAUAGAACAUUAGCACAGGUUGUAAUAAGAGAGAUUCUAUGACUUUUAGGACUGAAGAACACUUUUUUAUAAAUUUAAACACAGUUGAUUUACAUAUAAUUACAGAGCACUCCUGAUGAAAUCGUGGACCAACUCUUUAAUGUUUUACUGGUAGUGCAUUCUGGAAUCUAUGUUGUACAUUAAGAAGGAAGCAGGAAAUAGAGCCAAGAGUGAUUGAACAGGAGGGAGUUUUCUCUAUUCCAUGCUUGCUAUAUUCUUGGCAUUUUCAAAUCAGUUAAGGGAUUGGGGUUUUAAAUUUAGGUUUUUUUUGACCACCACCACCACCACUCCCUUCCUAAGUGUUUAUCCUCUGGUUGACCAUUCUACUAUUUUUUGUCAUUUUUACCUAUUAUCAGUGUUGUCCUGCAUGAACAUCUGAAAAGGCAAGAAGGUGUAUUCUAGAGAAAGACACUGAUUAAACCUUUGACAAGCAAAACUCUAUAAGAUGAUAGGUGAUAUUAAGCAGAAUAACAACCUAAAAAUACAAGUGUAAAUGGAGAAUACAAUAAAAAUACACUUCUCCAUUUCAAUAAUUUCACAUUUUUUAUGAGGAACAGGAAAAGCGAAAAAUACAUAUAAAUAAAGGUGCAAAACUUGAAGACAAGUGCUCUUUUGCUAUUAUUUAACUUUAGAAUAUUUCAUUCUGUCAAAGUAUGUGUUUCAUAAUGUGGCUUUCCAUUACAUGGUAUGCCCAGUUUUUCAUGAAAUUAUGGCUUACAAGGGAAAGGGCAGGAUACAAAUAGGCUCUAUAUCCAUUAACAAAGUCAAAUGUAUAAUAGAUUUUCCAUGCAUUACUUAUCUUUCAUAUGUCCCCAGUGUUUGCCUCUAUUAUUAAUAACAAAGGUCAGAACACUUAAUAUUUGGCAGCAUGCUUGACACAUAAUUGAUGGUGCAAUAUGCUAUAAUGGUACCUUCAGAAUCUGUUCUGACUACAGUUGACAGCUCAUUUCAUUUUCAAGGAUUUUGUGGACAAUUCUGAAGAGGAAAAUGCUGUCUAUAAACCCCUGUAUUUAAGGAUGCUUCUGUAUAUUCUGUACUUAUUGAUUGAUGGAAAUGGAUUAAAAUCAAGUAUUUAAAUCUGAA